CCAGCAGCUGCGGUAAUUCCAGCUCCAAUAGCGUAUAUUAAAGUUGUUGCGGUUAAAAAGCUCGUAGUUGGAUUUCUGCCGAGGACGACCGGUCCGCCCACUGGGUGUGCAUCUGGCUCGGCCUGGGCAUCUUCUUGGAGAACGUAUCUGCACUUCACUGUGUGGUGCGGUAUCCAGGACUUUUACUUUGAGGAAAUUAGAGUGUUUCAAGCAGGCACACGCCUUGAAUACGUUAGCAUGGAAUAAUAAGAUAGGACCUUGGUUCUAUUUUGUUGGUUUCUAGAACUGAGGUAAUGAUUAAUAGGGAUAGUUGGGGGCAUUAGUACUUAACUGUCAGAGGUGAAAUUCUCGGAUUUGUUAAAGACUAACUUAUGCGAAAGCAUUUGCCAAGGAUGUUUUCAUCAAUCAAGAACGAAAGU
RNAcentral lists this ribosomal RNA (419 nucleotides) under uncultured eukaryote. Its description in RNAcentral is "SSU rRNA". It matches the Rfam family "Eukaryotic small subunit ribosomal RNA", at positions 567 to 990 of the family's 1831-position model. The record is from RNAcentral.